This 301-nucleotide ribosomal RNA is filed under the name uncultured bacterium. Its description in RNAcentral is "partial 16S ribosomal RNA". It matches the Rfam family "Bacterial small subunit ribosomal RNA", at positions 509 to 807 of the family's 1533-position model. The record is from RNAcentral.
CAGUAGCCACGGUAAUACAGAGGGUGCGAGCGUUAAUCGGAUUUACUGGGCGUAAAGCGUGCGUAGGCGGCUAAUUGAGUCGGAUGUGAAAUCCCCGAGCUUAACUUGGGAAUUGCAUUCGAUACUGGUUAGCUAGAGUGUGGGAGAGGAUGGUAGAAUUCCAGGUGUAGCGGUGAAAUGCGUAGAGAUCUGGAGGAAUACCGAUGGCGAAGGCAGCCAUCUGGCCUAACACUGACGCUGAGGUACGAAAGCAUGGGGAGCAAACAGGAUUAGAUACCCCAGUAGUCCCUGUCUCUUAUAC